RNAcentral lists this ribosomal RNA (500 nucleotides) under uncultured bacterium. Its description in RNAcentral is "bacterial SSU rRNA". It matches the Rfam family "Bacterial small subunit ribosomal RNA", at positions 27 to 575 of the family's 1533-position model. The record is from RNAcentral.
GAGCGAACGCUGGCGGCAGGCCUAAUACAUGCAAGUCGAACGGCUCUUCGGAGCAGUGGCGGACGGGUGAGUAACGCGUGGGAACGUGCCCUAAGGUACGGAACAACUGAGGGAAACUUCAGCUAAUACCGUAUGUGCCCUUCGGGGGAAAGAUUUAUCGCCUUAGGAGCGGCCCGCGUUGGAUUAGCUAGUUGGUGGGGUAAAGGCCCACCAAGGCUACGAUCCAUAGCUGGUCUGAGAGGAUGAUCAGCCACACUGGGACUGAGACACGGCCCAGACUCCUACGGGAGGCAGCAGUAGGGAAUCUUGCGCAAUGGGCGAAAGCCUGACGCAGCCAUGCCGCGUGAAUGAUGAAGGUCUUAGGAUUGUAAAAUUCUUUCACCGGGGAAGAUAAUGACGGUACCCGGAGAAGAAGCCCCGGCUAACUUCGUGCCAGCAGCCGCGGUAAUACGAAGGGGGCUAGCGUUGCUCGGAAUUACUGGGCGUAAAGGGCGCGUAGG